UAACCGGCCCGCCCGUCCCCUCCUUCUGGAUUCCCGUUCCUGCUAUUGAGUUAGUGGGGACGUCACAGGGAGCUGUAUCAUUGCCUUCACGGGCCAGUGGUACAGUUUCUGGGGCCCAGAUCGUUUACCGUGAAAAAAUUAGAGUGUUCAAAGCAGGCAGAUACAAUUUUCUGCCACCGAAUACAUUAGCAUGGGAUAAUGGAAUAGGACCCUGUCCUCCUAUUUUCAGUUGGUUAGAGGAUCAGGGUAAUGAUUAAUAGGGAUAGUUGGGGGCAUUAAUAUUUAAUUGUCAGAGGUGAAAUUCUUGGAUUUAUGAAAGAUUAACUUCUGCGAAAGCAUCUGCCAAGGAUGUUUUCAUUAAUCAAGA
RNAcentral lists this ribosomal RNA (367 nucleotides) under Acanthamoeba genotype T2. RNAcentral describes it as "SSU rRNA". It matches the Rfam family "Eukaryotic small subunit ribosomal RNA", at positions 671 to 982 of the family's 1831-position model. Lineage: Eukaryota; Discosea; Longamoebia; Acanthamoebidae. The record is from RNAcentral.